Molecule: ribosomal RNA, 465 nt
Filed under: uncultured Klebsiella sp.
Lineage: Bacteria; Pseudomonadati; Pseudomonadota; Gammaproteobacteria; Enterobacterales; Enterobacteriaceae
Description: bacterial SSU rRNA
Rfam family: Bacterial small subunit ribosomal RNA
Source: RNAcentral
CCUACGGGUGGCUGCAGUGGGGAAUAUUGCACAAUGGGCGCAAGCCUGAUGCAGCCAUGCCGCGUGUGUGAAGAAGGCCUUCGGGUUGUAAAGCACUUUCAGCGGGGAGGAAGGCGGUGAGGUUAAUAACCUCAUCGAUUGACGUUACCCGCAGAAGAAGCACCGGCUAACUCCGUGCCAGCAGCCGCGGUAAUACGGAGGGUGCAAGCGUUAAUCGGAAUUACUGGGCGUAAAGCGCACGCAGGCGGUCUGUCAAGUCGGAUGUGAAAUCCCCGGGCUCAACCUAGGAACUGCAUUCGAAACUGGCAGGCUAGAGUCUUGUAGAGGGGGGUAGAAUUCCAGGUGUAGCGGUAAAAUGCGUAGAGAUCUGGAGGAAUACCGGUGGCGAAGGCGGCCCCCUGGACAAAGACUGACGCUCAGGUGCGAAAGCGUGGGGAGCAAACAGGAUUAGAUACCCGGGUAGUC